CAAUGCAAGUCGAGCGGACCGACGGGAGCUUGCUCCCUUAGGUCAGCGGCGGACGGGUGAGUAACACGUGGGUAACCUGCCUGUAAGACUGGGAUAACUCCGGGAAACCGGGGCUAAUACCGGAUGCUUGAUUGAACCGCAUGGUUCAAUCAUAAAAGGUGGCUUUUAGCUACCACUUACAGAUGGACCCGCGGCGCAUUAGCUAGUUGGUGAGGUAACGGCUCACCAAGGCGACGAUGCGUAGCCGACCUGAGAGGGUGAUCGGCCACACUGGGACUGAGACACGGCCCAGACUCCUACGGGAGGCAGCAGUAGGGAAUCUUCCGCAAUGGACGAAAGUCUGACGGAGCAACGCCGCGUGAGUGAUGAAGGUUUUCGGAUCGUAAAACUCUGUUGUUAGGGAAGAACAAGUACCGUUCGAAUAGGGCGG
This 430-nucleotide ribosomal RNA is filed under the name Bacillus sp. (in: firmicutes). RNAcentral's name for it is "bacterial SSU rRNA". It matches the Rfam family "Bacterial small subunit ribosomal RNA", at positions 54 to 475 of the family's 1533-position model. Lineage: Bacteria; Bacillati; Bacillota; Bacilli; Caryophanales; Bacillaceae. The record is from RNAcentral.